This is a long non-coding RNA of Drosophila pseudoobscura, 1586 nucleotides long. RefSeq lists it as uncharacterized. NCBI's taxonomy places the organism in Eukaryota, Metazoa, Arthropoda, Insecta, Diptera, Drosophilidae. The transcript has 3 exons. The record is from RefSeq and is a predicted model, not a curated record.
UUGAACCUACAACGCUUAUUAUAAUUCCCAUAAAUUUGAUUAGUUUUUCUGUACAAAAAUAUCUUCAGCUAUGGGUAGCUCUAAGGUCGUGAUAGUCCGCAGCACUGUCGUCUUUCGUCGUGCGCCCAAGAAAGGAUUUCCGGGUGUGAAUAUAGCCAACAUUGUCAAGUUCAUCAAAACCAUAGAUGCACCCAUCAAAAUGAAGUAAAGUAUUUACAGCUGAAAGAAGUCUCAAAAUUCCCAAUAUGUUUAAAUGUUAAAUAAAAUUUCCAUGUGCUAAAAUCGAAAGCUUUUGUACCACUGUGGCACUGGAUUGAGGACAGGACGUUGGGCAAACAACUUCAUUCAGUUUCAGUUCACAUUAAUGCAGCGUGAAUUAAGUGUCAAGGACAUUUUUUGGUUUUCGCAACCAGCAGGACGGCACGAUGCAACAUGUUUCCAGUGUCUCUCUACAUGUCCUUGCCUCCCAGUGUGUGUCCUGUGUGUUUGUCUGUGUGUGUGUGUGUGUUUUGGGUGACCGAAAAUGCGUUGCAACAUUCAAAUGAACGGACAAUCGGACUUUGGACUUCAUCAUCAUCAUCAUCAUGACGAUGGUGGUGGGGUGGGGCGCUCACACUUUCGGUGUGGCAGUGGCAGUGGCAGUGGCAGGCAGCCAUCAGAGGCAGUUAUGCCUGUCAAGAUGAAUGCCAUAUCAUCGCCGCACCGAAAAUGGUGUCAAAACGUCACCAACGGCGGUUCCCUUCAGUCUGUGUCCUUCCCUGGCAGCAGUAAAACUGCAAACAGAAAACAGGACCUCCUCCAUCGCUCGGUGUUGUUAUCCGGAUGAAUUAUGAGUUGUGCAUGGGAUCCAUGGCUCGCUCCAUGGAUCGAAGGACGUGUGUGUGCGUGGCAUCCUUCGUCUCGUCUCUCGGCAUUCCAGCCAAUUCGUCACGUGGUGCACGCACGCAAUGGAGGUCCUGGAGGAAAAACGAGGACCCAACGACCACAGCAAAAUUAAAUGCUAAACGAAGACAUUAACAAUGCAGGACACAGGACAGGGGACAAGGGCUCUUCCUCCGCCUUCUCCUCUCUGGCUGCAAUGCAGAUUGGAGUUAAUGUUGGCUGGAGGGGGGGAUGGAGAGUGUUGCAUGAAAAGAGCAGGCCCUCAUAGAAGGUUUAUGGCAAUUUGAACAGAGCAGAAACCUUUGGUUCUAUGAUUUCUAAACACGGGUCUUGCGUCAUGCGGCAGCGCCACUCGGUUUUACUGUUUUUCUUGCGAUUUGUGCUAUUUCUCCCUUGGGUUCUCUUCCAAAUCUUCACAUGCAAAUCCCAGGCAAUUCUUUUCUAUUUCUCUUAAACCCUCUUGAAGUCUUCUGUAGAAACGUCUUCUUUAAACCCCCCUCCAUUCCUCUUCUCACCAUUCUUCCUUCCACUUCGAUCUUCUUAGACGUUCAGCGUUGAAACUCGAUCCGAGGCGGCCACAUGCCACAAUUUAUUGCACGGGUCUCGUUCAUCAAUUGUGACAACGGCUCAAGUAAUUUCCUCGGACAUUUCACGCCAAACUGAACGCAGACGACACCCAAUCAAAGAGCCAAGGAACCCAAAAA